AAAAAGGGCUUCUGCUGUGAAUGGCACUGGGAGGGUGGGGGCAAACCACCCUCCUUGCGGAAUCGAUAUCAAGAGAUUUCGGAAGCACAAUUUUUUCAAACCGGGGCUGCUAGUGAUCGUUAUCCUGGCGCCCCA
This is a small nuclear RNA of Gadus morhua (Atlantic cod), 135 nucleotides long. Ensembl annotates it as U11 spliceosomal RNA. NCBI's taxonomy places the organism in Eukaryota, Metazoa, Chordata, Actinopteri, Gadiformes, Gadidae. The record is from Ensembl.